Molecule: long non-coding RNA, 918 nt
Filed under: Monodelphis domestica (gray short-tailed opossum)
Lineage: Eukaryota; Metazoa; Chordata; Mammalia; Didelphimorphia; Didelphidae
Description: lncRNA (ENSMODG00000044478.1)
Source: RNAcentral
CUCAGACAUGGAAAUCAAUGUUUAUACAAGCAGCAUCCUGAAAUUGUAAAAGGUUUAGCCAUUGCAAAUAACACACGCUUUGGUAAGAUUGAAAGAGACUAGCAAAGUAAGAGAUGAUUUGAAUUAUUGAAAAUACAUUUGGGGAACAUUUUCGAUUUCUUUUUUAUAUACCGUUUUUGUUGAUAAAAUAUAUUGCUUCCCAUUCAUCUACUGAGAGAGACUUUCCUUAUAAGAAGAAAUACAAAAAACGAAGAGAAAAAAAGGUCAACAAAACUAUCACAUCAGCUAUGUCUGACAACAUAUGGAAGGUUUUAUAUCCAUAGUCCCCAACUUCUGCAAAAAAGGGAGCCAAUGGGAACGAGCGAGUAUUGUCCUGGGAGUCAGAAACUUUGGAUUCCAGCACCAGAGGUGACUAGUCUGACUUUAUGCAAAAUGGUUAAAUUCACCUAACUCAACUCCAAUUUUUCUGUCUAAAGAAUGGGAACCCCCUCCGCCCCCUGCAAACCCCAACCAACUUGCCUUCAUAGUUUUGUAUUCUAAAGCAGCAAGAUUGUAAGAAGGAAGGCAAUGGUGCAGUUAGGUAGCACAGUGGAUAGAGAGCCAGGGCUGGACUUGAUAGGACUUCAGGUUCAAAUCUGACCUCAGAUACUUUCUAGCUGUGUGACCCUGGGCAAGUCAAUGACCCCCAAUUUCUGGGCCUUAACCUCUCUUCUACCUUCCAACUGAUACUUAGUAUAGAUUCUAAAAGAGAAGGAAAGGGUUUAAUCAAAAAGGGAAAAUUUUCCAUUUUUGCUAUGAUAAAGUCAGAGCUUUAUUUGCCCAGAAAGAUUUCAGCUCUUCUUUAGUGAUUUCUAUCACAGAGUUCUGAGCUUCAAUCUUCCAGCUAUAACUAAUAAAUGGAAUUAUUUCCAAUUAGCA